GGGCGGUUAGCUCAGCUGGUAGAGCGUCUUCUUUACACGGAGAGGGCCGGCGGUUCGAACCCGUCACCGCCCA
This 73-nucleotide transfer RNA is filed under the name Sandaracinobacteroides saxicola. It matches the Rfam family "tRNA". From Rfam's summary of the family: Transfer RNA (tRNA) molecules are approximately 80 nucleotides in length. Lineage: Bacteria; Pseudomonadati; Pseudomonadota; Alphaproteobacteria; Sphingomonadales; Sphingosinicellaceae. The record is from Rfam by way of RNAcentral.